This 253-nucleotide ribosomal RNA is filed under the name uncultured bacterium. Its description in RNAcentral is "partial 16S ribosomal RNA". It matches the Rfam family "Bacterial small subunit ribosomal RNA", at positions 524 to 776 of the family's 1533-position model. The record is from RNAcentral.
UACAGAGGUCUCAAGCGUUGUUCGGAUUCAUUGGGCGUAAAGGGCGCGUAGGCGGCGGGGUAAGUCGGGUGUGAAAUCUCAGAGCUCAACUCUGGAACUGCACUCGAUACUGCUCUGCUUGAGGACUGGAGAGGAGACUGGAAUUCACGGUGUAGCAGUGAAAUGCGUAGAUAUCGUGAGGAAGACCAGUGGCGAAGGCGGGUCUCUGGACAGUUCCUGACGCUGAGGCGCGAAGGCCAGGGGAGCAAACGGG